RNAcentral lists this non-coding RNA (45 nucleotides) under Schistosoma margrebowiei. Lineage: Eukaryota; Metazoa; Platyhelminthes; Trematoda; Strigeidida; Schistosomatidae. The record is from RNAcentral.
AUCCAGCCGAUGAGUCCCAGCUAGGACGAAACUCGCGUCCUGGAU